Molecule: long non-coding RNA, 476 nt
Organism: Perca fluviatilis (European perch)
Lineage: Eukaryota; Metazoa; Chordata; Actinopteri; Perciformes; Percidae
Exons: 3
Source: RefSeq, a predicted model, not a curated record
CAGACUUCUUUUUUUUUACUCAUCAGUUUGCGUUUGAUUUUUGUACCUACAUUUUGAACAAUGGAGAUAACCUGGUUAUUUUAUGGCCACAUAAACACACCAGAACCUGAAAAAUACUACUCUUGAUGUUGGCUGUAUAAUUAACCAUGAUUUCUCAUCCAAAAGCUCCACCCCUGCAACUGGCUUGCCAGAGAAAAGUGGAAAUUUCCAGUCAUUCCUUCUGCUUUGCAAGAAAUGCUCCUCCUCCUUCUAGUUUCCCGCCUUUCCGCCUACCUGCUCCUUCCUGUUGCAAACUGGCCUGAAGACCUCCCAGCCCUCUGCUGCUGAACUUUGUGGUGCCCAGCACGUUUUACUGUGUACAAUGAGAAAACGUGCUAUUUCUCACAUAGAUAAAACAUAACAUGUUUUUAUGCUUCUGGCAUCAUACUUGGUCUAUAAAUGUAUUAGCACAGAAAUAUGUUCCUUGAAUUGUAUAA